CUCCAGAGUUCCAAGGGGGGUCAGUGUAAAACGGCCUUCUGUCCGUAACGUGUCGGCACUUUCGAUGUCUUAUUCAGGCAUCGCGUUUCCAUAUCGAAUAAUCCAAAGGAUACGAUAUUAACACAUUUAUCCGUGUACGAUAUUUAAUUGUUUGUAUUAUUAAAAAAAAAAAAAAAAAAAAAAAAAAAAAAAAAAAGAAAAGAAAGAGAAAAAAAGAAAAAACCAAAACAAGAAGAAGAAAUUUCUUUUAUCCUUCGCCAUCUAACAAGGACCAAAGGGAAAUCUCGUUCUUUUUUUUUUUUUUUUUUUUCUUUGGUUCUUCUGCGAAUAAUUCUUCUUCCCUUCGUUCAUUUUCGAGAUACAUACGCCGAAAGAAUAUAUAUACAACAUCGAAGAUCUUCGAUCUAAGGGAGAUCUUUUAGAAGGAAGGAAAGCGAUUGAUUUUGAUAAAGGUUUAUCCUUCGAGUCCGGUUAAUGGCUGUCACGGUCGUCGGCUAGGGGCCAGGCGUCUGAGGAAGUUUCCAGGCUGUCAGAGCAAAAAUACAGCUUGUACCCGAUGAGUGUUAGAUUGGCAGGUGGUCAUAUGGUGAAGCAGAGGAGGUUUAUCGGGAACACAAACAACAAGAUGAUCAAUAUACGGGAACAUUUAUAGGCCCUACGAUAUUAGUGAAAUAUAUAUCAAACGAAGAAAAUCAAGUAUUUUCGAAUCGAAAGAAGGGGAAAGGUUUUUUUAGGUGACCUUCCUGAAUGUGGCGGAUCCGAAGGUCAAUUUUAGUUGAUGAAGAAGUGUCACGUUACGAAUGUAUUAGGGUGCUCUUGUUUGUGAGGUGCUAAAAAGAAGGUUAUUAAUUCAAGAUAGAAAAAGGAAAAAAGGAAAAGGGAAGGAUAAGAGAAAAGUGAGACAAGAGAAAAGCAAGGUGAUAACCGAGAGAGGAAGGAAGAACGAUAUAUAAAUGCGUCGGUUGAUGCAUCUGGCAUAAUUUACUUGCCCCCCCUUUUGCCCUUGCUUCUUCACGAGAUACAUUUUUUCUUUUUUUAAAUCUUUAUUUUCUUUCUUAUUAAAAAGAUUUUCAGCUGUCCGUCCUAACGGAUUCUCUCUGUUUUUUUUCCCCCCUCUCCGUUUCUCUCUCUCUCUAUAUCUCUCCUCCCCCGCCCCUUCCUUCCUCUAUUUUUAUAUUAUUUCUUUUUUAUUUCUCAUUUUCUUUUUUUUUUCUUUUUUUUUUUUUUUUGUUUCCUUUAUCUCCUUUAUUACUAGAAAAAGAUUUUCUUGUGAUUAUUUACACGCAAGGGACGAUGUACGAUGGAUAAGCCAAAGUAAUCGAGUGAUAUUUUUUUAUCGAUAUACAUUAUUCGUUCUUAUUUCUACUUUUUGAGAGAUAGAUAGAUAGAUAGAUAGAAAAUAGUUAAAUAGAUCGUUAGAUAGAUAGACAGACAGACAGACAGACAGAC
Long non-coding RNA from Vespa crabro (European hornet), 1449 nucleotides. RefSeq lists it as uncharacterized. Lineage: Eukaryota; Metazoa; Arthropoda; Insecta; Hymenoptera; Vespidae. The record is from RefSeq and is a predicted model, not a curated record. The transcript has 4 exons.